Molecule: non-coding RNA, 27 nt
Filed under: Bombyx mori (domestic silkworm)
Lineage: Eukaryota; Metazoa; Arthropoda; Insecta; Lepidoptera; Bombycidae
Source: RNAcentral
UAUGUACGACUGACCAAAUGCAAGCGA